RNAcentral lists this ribosomal RNA (2902 nucleotides) under Escherichia coli. RNAcentral describes it as "23S ribosomal RNA". It matches the Rfam family "Bacterial large subunit ribosomal RNA". Lineage: Bacteria; Pseudomonadati; Pseudomonadota; Gammaproteobacteria; Enterobacterales; Enterobacteriaceae. The record is from RNAcentral.
GGUUAAGCGACUAAGCGUACACGGUGGAUGCCCUGGCAGUCAGAGGCGAUGAAGGACGUGCUAAUCUGCGAUAAGCGUCGGUAAGGUGAUAUGAACCGUUAUAACCGGCGAUUUCCGAAUGGGGAAACCCAGUGUGAUUCGUCACACUAUCAUUAACUGAAUCCAUAGGUUAAUGAGGCGAACCGGGGGAACUGAAACAUCUAAGUACCCCGAGGAAAAGAAAUCAACCGAGAUUCCCCCAGUAGCGGCGAGCGAACGGGGAGGAGCCCAGAGCCUGAAUCAGUGUGUGUGUUAGUGGAAGCGUCUGGAAAGGCGCGCGAUACAGGGUGACAGCCCCGUACACAAAAAUGCACAUGCUGUGAGCUCGAUGAGUAGGGCGGGACACGUGGUAUCCUGUCUGAAUAUGGGGGGACCAUCCUCCAAGGCUAAAUACUCCUGACUGACCGAUAGUGAACCAGUACCGUGAGGGAAAGGCGAAAAGAACCCCGGCGAGGGGAGUGAAAAAGAACCUGAAACCGUGUACGUACAAGCAGUGGGAGCCUCUUUAUGGGGUGACUGCGUACCUUUUGUAUAAUGGGUCAGCGACUUAUAUUCUGUAGCAAGGUUAACCGAAUAGGGGAGCCGAAGGGAAACCGAGUCUUAACUGGGCGUUAAGUUGCAGGGUAUAGACCCGAAACCCGGUGAUCUAGCCAUGGGCAGGUUGAAGGUUGGGUAACACUAACUGGAGGACCGAACCGACUAAUGUUGAAAAAUUAGCGGAUGACUUGUGGCUGGGGGUGAAAGGCCAAUCAAACCGGGAGAUAGCUGGUUCUCCCCGAAAGCUAUUUAGGUAGCGCCUCGUGAAUUCAUCUCCGGGGGUAGAGCACUGUUUCGGCAAGGGGGUCAUCCCGACUUACCAACCCGAUGCAAACUGCGAAUACCGGAGAAUGUUAUCACGGGAGACACACGGCGGGUGCUAACGUCCGUCGUGAAGAGGGAAACAACCCAGACCGCCAGCUAAGGUCCCAAAGUCAUGGUUAAGUGGGAAACGAUGUGGGAAGGCCCAGACAGCCAGGAUGUUGGCUUAGAAGCAGCCAUCAUUUAAAGAAAGCGUAAUAGCUCACUGGUCGAGUCGGCCUGCGCGGAAGAUGUAACGGGGCUAAACCAUGCACCGAAGCUGCGGCAGCGACACUAUGUGUUGUUGGGUAGGGGAGCGUUCUGUAAGCCUGUGAAGGUGUGCUGUGAGGCAUGCUGGAGGUAUCAGAAGUGCGAAUGCUGACAUAAGUAACGAUAAAGCGGGUGAAAAGCCCGCUCGCCGGAAGACCAAGGGUUCCUGUCCAACGUUAAUCGGGGCAGGGUGAGUCGACCCCUAAGGCGAGGCCGAAAGGCGUAGUCGAUGGGAAACAGGUUAAUAUUCCUGUACUUGGUGUUACUGCGAAGGGGGGACGGAGAAGGCUAUGUUGGCUGGGCGACGGUUGUCCCGGUUUAAGCGUGUAGGCUGGUUUUCCAGGCAAAUCCGGAAAAUCAAGGCUGAGGCGUGAUGACGAGGCACUACGGUGCUGAAGCAACAAAUGCCCUGCUUCCAGGAAAAGCCUCUAAGCAUCAGGUAACAUCAAAUCGUACCCCAAACCGACACAGGUGGUCAGGUAGAGAAUACCAAGGCGCUUGAGAGAACUCGGGUGAAGGAACUAGGCAAAAUGGUGCCGUAACUUCGGGAGAAGGCACGCUGAUAUGUAGGUGAAGUCCCUCGCGGAUGGAGCUGAAAUCAGUCGAAGAUACCAGCUGGCUGCAACUGUUUAUUAAAAACACAGCACUGUGCAAACACGAAAGUGGACGUAUACGGUGUGACGCCUGCCCGGUGCCGGAAGGUUAAUUGAUGGGGUCAGCGCAAGCGAAGCUCUUGAUCGAAGCCCCGGUAAACGGCGGCCGUAACUAUAACGGUCCUAAGGUAGCGAAAUUCCUUGUCGGGUAAGUUCCGACCUGCACGAAUGGCGUAAUGAUGGCCAGGCUGUCUCCACCCGAGACUCAGUGAAAUUGAACUCGCUGUGAAGAUGCAGUGUACCCGCGGCAAGACGGAAAGACCCCGUGAACCUUUACUAUAGCUUGACACUGAACAUUGAGCCUUGAUGUGUAGGAUAGGUGGGAGGCUUUGAAGUGUGGACGCCAGUCUGCAUGGAGCCGACCUUGAAAUACCACCCUUUAAUGUUUGAUGUUCUAACGUUGACCCGUAAUCCGGGUUGCGGACAGUGUCUGGUGGGUAGUUUGACUGGGGCGGUCUCCUCCUAAAGAGUAACGGAGGAGCACGAAGGUUGGCUAAUCCUGGUCGGACAUCAGGAGGUUAGUGCAAUGGCAUAAGCCAGCUUGACUGCGAGCGUGACGGCGCGAGCAGGUGCGAAAGCAGGUCAUAGUGAUCCGGUGGUUCUGAAUGGAAGGGCCAUCGCUCAACGGAUAAAAGGUACUCCGGGGAUAACAGGCUGAUACCGCCCAAGAGUUCAUAUCGACGGCGGUGUUUGGCACCUCGAUGUCGGCUCAUCACAUCCUGGGGCUGAAGUAGGUCCCAAGGGUAUGGCUGUUCGCCAUUUAAAGUGGUACGCGAGCUGGGUUUAGAACGUCGUGAGACAGUUCGGUCCCUAUCUGCCGUGGGCGCUGGAGAACUGAGGGGGGCUGCUCCUAGUACGAGAGGACCGGAGUGGACGCAUCACUGGUGUUCGGGUUGUCAUGCCAAUGGCACUGCCCGGUAGCUAAAUGCGGAAGAGAUAAGUGCUGAAAGCAUCUAAGCACGAAACUUGCCCCGAGAUGAGUUCUCCCUGACCCUUUAAGGGUCCUGAAGGAACGUUGAAGACGACGACGUUGAUAGGCUGGGUGUGUAAGCGCAGCGAUGCGUUGAGCUAACCGGUACUAAUGAACCGUGAGGCUUAACCUU